AUUGAACGCUGGCGGCAGGCCUAACACAUGCAAGUCGAGCGGAUGAAGGGAGCUUGCUCCUGGAUUCAGCGGCGGACGGGUGAGUAAUGCCUAGGAAUCUGCCUGGUAGUGGGGGAUAACGUCUGGAAACGGGCGCUAAUACCGCAUACGUCCUGAGGGAGAAAGUGGGGGAUCUUCGGACCUCACGCUAUCAGAUGAGCCUAGGUCGGAUUAGCUAGUUGGUGGGGUAAAGGCCUACCAAGGCGACGAUCCGUAACUGGUCUGAGAGGAUGAUCAGUCACACUGGAACUGAGACACGGUCCAGACUCCUACGGGAGGCAGCAGUGGGGAAUAUUGGACAAUGGGCGAAAGCCUGAUCCAGCCAUGCCGCGUGUGUGAAGAAGGUCUUCGGAUUGUAAGGCACUUUAAGUUGGGAGGAAGGGCAGUAAGUUAAUACCUUGCUGUUUUGACGUUACCAACAGAAUAAGCACCGGCUAACUUCGUG
RNAcentral lists this ribosomal RNA (484 nucleotides) under uncultured bacterium. RNAcentral's name for it is "partial 16S ribosomal RNA". It matches the Rfam family "Bacterial small subunit ribosomal RNA", at positions 30 to 507 of the family's 1533-position model. The record is from RNAcentral.